ACGGUAUAGCAUCAUCCUAUCCUAUCCCCUUCUGGCACAGAUCUUGAAGGAUCCUCUUGGCUGUGAAGAUGACAGGAACAAGAAACCCCAGAGGAUCCUAGAAGGAGCUUACUGUGCAUAGGAUCCCUCUCCGAGUCAAUGGCCUGUUUGGGAUGGAUAUGCAGAACUUAAAUGCAUCUGACUGUAGGCACCACCACACUCCCAAUGCUCGCUCAACAGGGUGGAGCCUGCUGGAGUCCGAUGGUUGAGACCAGGUCUGAGGAAGUAUUCCUGUCAACUCACAAUCGACACAAACACAGUGAACACAAAGCUCCAACUGUCUGACGACAACAGGAAGGUGACACAUGUGGAGGAGGUUCAGUCGUAUCCUGAUCAUCCAGACAGAUUUGAUGUUUAUCAUCAGCUGCUGUGCACAAAUGGUCUGACUGGUCGCUGUUACUGGGAGGUCGAGUGGAGAGGAUGUGUUCAUAUAUCAGUGAGUUACAGAAGAAUCAGAAGGAAAGGAAACAGUAAAGACUGCGUGUUCGGAUGGAAUGCUCUGUCCUGGACUCUGAGCUGCUCUGAUGAUGGUCCUCAGUCUCUCAGGCACAAUAACAGAACAACAUUUAUCUCCUCCUCCUCCUCCUCCUCCUCUGUCUCUAACAGAGUAGCAGUGUAUGUGGACUGUCCUGCUGGCACUCUGUCCUUCUACAGAGUCUCCUCUGACACUCUGAUCCACCUCCACACCUUCAACACCACCUUCACUCAAACUCUUUAUCCUGGGUUUAUGUUCAU
Molecule: long non-coding RNA, 774 nt
Organism: Pelmatolapia mariae (spotted tilapia)
Lineage: Eukaryota; Metazoa; Chordata; Actinopteri; Cichliformes; Cichlidae
Exons: 3
Source: RefSeq, a predicted model, not a curated record